UAAGACGUAGGGAGCGAGCGUUGUCCGGAUUCAUUGGGCGUAAAGAGCGCGUAGGCGGCCGUGCAAGUCGGUUGUGAAAUCCCGGGGCUCAACCCCGGGACUGCGUCCGAUACUGCACGGCUCGAGGCAGGUAGGGGAGAGUGGAAUUCCCGGUGUAGCGGUGAAAUGCGCAGAUAUCGGGAGGAACACCGGUGGCGAAGGCGGCUCUCUGGACCUGUCCUGACGCUGAGGCGCGAAAGCUAGGGGAGCGAACAGGAUUAGAUACCCUGGUAGUCCUAGCCGUAAACGUUGGGUGCUAGGUGUGGGCGGAUAUCGACCCCGUCCGUGCCGAAGCUAACGCAUUAAGCACCCCGCCUGGGGAGUACGGCCGCAAGGCUA
RNAcentral lists this ribosomal RNA (378 nucleotides) under uncultured bacterium. RNAcentral describes it as "bacterial SSU rRNA". It matches the Rfam family "Bacterial small subunit ribosomal RNA", at positions 521 to 896 of the family's 1533-position model. The record is from RNAcentral.